AUUGAACGCUGGCGGCAGGCCUAACACAUGCAAGUCGAGCGGAUGAAGGGAGCUUGCUCCUGGAUUCAGCGGCGGACGGGUGAGUAAUGCCUAGGAAUCUGCCUGGUAGUGGGGGAUAACGUCCGGAAACGGGCGCUAAUACCGCAUACGUCCUGAGGGAGAAAGUGGGGGAUCUUCGGACCUCACGCUAUCAGAUGAGCCUAGGUCGGAUUAGCUAGUUGGUGGGGUAAAGGCCUACCAAGGCGACGAUCCGUAACUGGUCUGAGAGGAUGAUCAGUCACAAUGGAACUGAGACACGGUCCAGACUCCUACGGGAGGCAGCAGUGGGGAAUAUUGGACAAUGGGCGAAAGCCUGAUCCAGCCAUGCCGCGUGUGUGAAGAAGGUCUUCGGAUUGUAAAGCACUAAGUUGGGAGGAAGGGCAGUAAGUUAAUACCUUGCUGUUUUGACGUUACCAACAGAAUAAGCACCGGCUAACUUCGUG
This 482-nucleotide ribosomal RNA is filed under the name uncultured bacterium. RNAcentral describes it as "partial 16S ribosomal RNA". It matches the Rfam family "Bacterial small subunit ribosomal RNA", at positions 30 to 507 of the family's 1533-position model. The record is from RNAcentral.